AGUGAACGCUGGCGGUAGGCCUAACACAUGCAAGUCGAACGGCAGCACAGUAAGAGCUUGCUCUUACGGGUGGCGAGUGGCGGACGGGUGAGGAAUACAUCGGAAUCUACUUUUUCGUGGGGGAUAACGUAGGGAAACUUACGCUAAUACCGCAUACGACCUACGGGUGAAAGCAGGGGAUCUUCGGACCUUGCGCGAUUGAAUGAGCCGAUGUCGGAUUAGCUAGUUGGCAGGGUAAAGGCCCACCAAGGCGACGAUCCGUAGCUGGUCUGAGAGGAUGAUCAGCCACACUGGAACUGAGACACGGUCCAGACUCCUACGGGAGGCAGCAGUGGGGAAUAUUGGACAAUGGGCGAAAGCCUGAUCCAGCCAUACCGCGUGGGUGAAGAAGGCCUUCGGGUUGUAAAGCCCUUUUGUUGGGAAAGAAAAGCAGCAGGUUAAUACCCCGCUGUUCUGACGGUACCCAAAGAAUAAGCACCGGCUAACUUCGUG
RNAcentral lists this ribosomal RNA (492 nucleotides) under uncultured bacterium. RNAcentral's name for it is "partial 16S ribosomal RNA". It matches the Rfam family "Bacterial small subunit ribosomal RNA", at positions 29 to 507 of the family's 1533-position model. The record is from RNAcentral.